GAUGAACGCUGGCGGCGUGCCUAAUACAUGCAAGUCGAGCGAACGGACGAGAAGCUUGCUUCUCUGAUGUUAGCGGCGGACGGGUGAGUAACACGUGGAUAACCUACCUAUAAGACUGGGAUAACUUCGGGAAACCGGAGCUAAUACCGGAUAAUAUUUUGAACCGCAUGGUUCAAAAGUGAAAGACGGUCUUGCUGUCACUUAUAGAUGGAUCCGCGCUGCAUUAGCUAGUUGGUAAGGUAACAGCUUACCAAGGCAACGAUGCAUAGCCGACCUGAGAGGGUGAUCGGCCACACUGGAACUGAGACACGGUCCAGACUCCUACGGGAGGCAGCAGUAGGGAAUCUUCCGCAAUGGGCGAAAGCCUGACGGAGCAACGCCGCGUGAGUGAUGAAGGUCUUCGGAUCGUAAAACUCUGUUAUUGGGGAAGAACAUAUGUGUAAGUAACUGUGCACAUCUUGACGGUACCUAAUCAGAAAGCCACGGCUAACUACGUG
Molecule: ribosomal RNA, 497 nt
Filed under: uncultured bacterium
Lineage: Bacteria
Description: partial 16S ribosomal RNA
Rfam family: Bacterial small subunit ribosomal RNA
Source: RNAcentral